RNAcentral lists this ribosomal RNA (400 nucleotides) under uncultured Acaulospora. RNAcentral describes it as "SSU rRNA". It matches the Rfam family "Eukaryotic small subunit ribosomal RNA", at positions 569 to 971 of the family's 1831-position model. Lineage: Eukaryota; Fungi; Glomeromycota; Glomeromycetes; Diversisporales; Acaulosporaceae. The record is from RNAcentral.
AGCAGCCGCGGUAAUUCCAGCUCCAAUAGCGUAUAUUAAAGUUGUUGCAGUUAAAAAGCUCGUAGUUGAAUUUCGGGGUUCAUACGUUGGUCGGGCUUUUUGGUCUGUACUAGCGUAAUGGAUUCCUACCUUCUGAAUAACCGGCAUGCCAUUAAUUUGGUGCGCCGGGGAAGCAGGACUGUUACCUUGAAAAAUUAGAGUGCUUAAAGCAGGCUAUCGCCUGAAUACAUUAGCAUGGAAUAAUGAAAUAGGACGGCAUGGUUCUAUUUUGUUGGUUUCUAGGAUCACCGUAAUGAUUAAUAGGGAUAGUUGGGGGCAUUAGUAUUCAAUUGUCAGAGGUGAAAUUCUUGGAUUUUAUUGAAGACUAACUACUGCGAAAGCAUUUGCCAAGGAUGUUUUC